AAAGGAAUAGACGGGAGCCCGCACAAGCAGUGGAGUAUGUGGUUUAAUUCGAUGCAACGCGAAGAACCUUACCAGGACUUGACAUCCUAAGAAGGCGAAGUAAAAUUUGCUGUGCCCCUUCGGGGGAAUUUAGAGACAGGUGGUGCAUGGUUGUCGUCAGCUCGUGUCGUGAGAUGUUGGGUUAAGUCCCGCAACGAGCGCAACCCCUACGGUUAGUUGCUACGCAAGAGCACUCUAACAGGACUGCCGUUGACAAAACGGAGGAAGGUGGGGACGACGUCAAAUCAUCAUGCCCCUUACGUUCUGGGCUACACACGUACUACAAUGGCGUAAAACAGAGGGCUGCGAAGGCGCGAGCCGGAGCUAAUCUCCAAAAUACGUCUCAGUUCAGAUUGCAGGCUGCAACUCGCCUGCAUGAAGAUGGAAUUGCUAGUAAUCGCGAAUCAGAAUGUCGCGGUGAAUACGUUCCCGGGCUUUGUACACACCGCCCGU
RNAcentral lists this ribosomal RNA (492 nucleotides) under uncultured bacterium. RNAcentral's name for it is "bacterial SSU rRNA". It matches the Rfam family "Bacterial small subunit ribosomal RNA", at positions 903 to 1397 of the family's 1533-position model. The record is from RNAcentral.